Molecule: long non-coding RNA, 2188 nt
Filed under: Homo sapiens (human)
Lineage: Eukaryota; Metazoa; Chordata; Mammalia; Primates; Hominidae
Description: HSALNT0379277
Rfam family: Small nucleolar RNA SNORD113/SNORD114 family (bases 1-72)
Source: RNAcentral
ACCAAUGAUGAGUACCAUGGGGUAUCUGAAACAGGAUUUUUGAUUAAACCCAUAUGCAAUUCUGAGGUCCAUUACAAAGAGACACGUAUUAUUCCUUUUUUGGGAAGUGAGCCUAUGGUACCUUUUCCUUGGACUUUGUGGUUCUUGGGGAUGGAUUGCAUUUUUGUUAUAAAAUCAGCCCAUGAAUUAAAAAUUUAUCAAUGAGUAAAACAUAAAGCAUAAGUCAUGUACUUAUUAUCAGUGACUGUAAUGAAACAUGGAUUAUUAUUAAAACUUAUCUGAGACUCCCAAUAAAUUAAUACCCAAGGCUUCUACCAUUCUGGUAAGGAGCAUAUGGUCAUUUGUAUGCAAGAGUCAGUUUUUGUUCUGUGUUGGUGGUGGGUUGCUGACUAUUUUAUGAAGAAAAUGAAGCAUCUUUAAUCAUAUAAAUAGUUGGUUAAAUAACCACUUAAUUGAGACCAAGCAGAGACCAAUGAUGAGUGUAUUAAUCUAUUUUUUAAUGGAUUUUUAUUAAACAAAUAAUAAAAGAAACACAGUCUAUUCUUCCUGAGGGCAAUAACUCUAGACAGAUGUAAAUAUUCUUCAGUGUUCUUGUCCAGUGCUGUGAGAUCACAGAUACUGAUGUCUUUUGUAUAUGAGAAGGAACUUGCAUUUUUAUGUCUCAGUUUAUAUUUUAGAGUCAGCAAACCAUGGACCAAUUAGGAACAAAUGUUAUGAUAUGAGAAUGCUGAUUCUUGUUUUUUUUUUUCAUGAUAGACAUUCUAAGAAAAACUCUAGGCUCUCUCAUUGUUUUUGGAAUACAUACAUGGUUCUUUCCAAGUAGUUUCUUAGAAAAAUGUUUUUAAAAAGAGGCUUUUAAAAAGAGCCUUUUAAAAUGUUUUUAAAAGAAGGCUUUAUUUUUCUCUAUAGAAUGAAAACCAUGUAGCUGGUCUUAUUAUUCUCUAAUCAUGAAGACCAUUAUUGUUAUUUGUGGACUAAGGAGCAGAAAGACUGAUAGUGGACAUAGGCCAGCUGAUUUAAUAAUUUAAGAAAGAACUGUUAUCCUGAGUAAGGAGCAUAGAGACAAAUAUAAAAUGAACGCACUCUACCUGAUUUAAUUAUAGUCUUCUGGUGAAGAUCUUGCUGUUAUCUCUGUGAAUCAGGAGAGAAGAGAUUGAUAAGGAAUAGACGAGAUUGGAUUUGGUCAUUUCCCCAAGGUGAAGAGCAUGGCGAUUUCUUCUGUGGUAAGGAGCAAUAAUGAAGACCAUGGUUGAUUUAAUCAGUCUCUGCUGAUGAAGAUCUUGGCUGUUACCUUUGUGUAAUGAAUGCGCAAUGAUUCAAUUAUUCUCCAGCGAGGAAGAUCAUGGUUGUUGUCUGUUUGAGUAAUGAGUGUAGAAACCUAUAAUGGAGGCGUGAUGGCUGAUGCAAUCAUUUUCCACUGAUGAAGGUUUUGAUGGCCACCUGUAAUGAACAGCCCCAUCUGAUUUAAUCACUGUGCAAUGACCGUGAACUGUACAGUUACCUCCGUGUGUCACAGGAAGACUCUUUUGACUUAAGCACCCUUCCAUGGUCAUGAGGUUUCUGGUUGCCUCUGUGUGUUAGAAGCUUGGAGACCAAUGCCUUCUGCUGUGAUCGCGUUCUCCACAGUUGCCUCUGGGUAGGAGCCUGGACACUAAUAGAAAAUGGAUGCACUUGAGCCGACCUAAGCAUUCAUGGUCAUGAGAUUUGUGGUUGCCACUGUUGGUUAGGAGCAUAGAGAUCAGUAAUGGACACACCUGGGCUGGCAGAACAUCUUGCCUUGAUCUGGAGCCCCAUGUCUGCCCCUCUGUAGAGGUGCACAUGGGCCAAUGAUGGAUGCAAUGAGCUGAUCAUUUUGCUGUGAUCAAGGCUAUGUUGCCUCUGUGUUAGGCCAAUGGUUGAUGUUCAUGGGUGAUUGAUCAUCCUGUAGCGACGGUGGUAUUGACUGUUCCCCAGAGGACAAGGAGUGUGUUCUUAUAAUGGACAUCAUGAUUGGGAUUGUCUUUAUUAAACUUUGUCAGGAGAGUAAAGAUCAAUGUGGCCACAUGUUGUGGCUCAUGCCUGUAAUCCCAACACUGUAAUCCCAGCACUGUAAUCCCAGCCUGUAAUCCCAGGCUGAGGUGGGCGGAUCACCUGAGGUUGGGAGUUCGAGACCAGCCUGACCAACAUGGAGAAACCCCGUCUCUACUAA